Long non-coding RNA from Stomoxys calcitrans (stable fly), 597 nucleotides. RefSeq lists it as uncharacterized. The transcript has 2 exons. The record is from RefSeq and is a predicted model, not a curated record. Lineage: Eukaryota; Metazoa; Arthropoda; Insecta; Diptera; Muscidae.
AAUUGAUUUAUUAUGUCAAACUUUUUUUUGAGCCAAAAUUGGCCACAUCAAAUAUCACUGCCGGGGAUACUCAGAUUUUGAUGAGAAGGCAUAAAAAAAGAAGAAAAUUUAUUGGUUUAACGUUGCCCUAGAAUAUUGACCCAUGAGACUUGAUGUUUAACGCAUUAAGUUUGCUGAACUUGCCGAACUUUGAAUGCAAAUUUGCCCAUGAAGAUUCCAUUAAAGAACUGGGUCAAAUUUCCCACAUAUCACCGAGAUCGAACGGCGUGUGGCAGUGAGACACCUCUAUGUGUAGGAGUUUUUACAUGGCUGCAGUACCUCACAAAUGUUGCCAGCAUUAGGGGGGGAUAACCACCGCUGAAAAUUUUUUUAUGAUAUUCUCGCCAGGAUUCGAACCCCGGCCUCCGAACUUUGAAUACCCACCAAUAAUGAUGUAUUGCUUAUCCUAUUUUAGUAUAACUCUACUAUUAUCCUUGUUAUUAUCCAAAAAUAAGUCUAUCUGGAUCAAAUUUAGGUGCAGGUUCCUAGAAGUCGCAGUAUGCAAGUCGCAGUUUCAUAAUUCAAAUCGGUAAAUAAAUUAUGAUUUAUGGCCCUUAA